This 835-nucleotide ribosomal RNA is filed under the name uncultured archaeon. RNAcentral's name for it is "bacterial SSU rRNA". It matches the Rfam family "Archaeal small subunit ribosomal RNA", at positions 5 to 847 of the family's 1478-position model. The record is from RNAcentral.
CGGUUGAUCCUGCCGGACCUGACUGCUAUCGGAUUGAUACUAAGCCAUGCGAGUCAUUGUAGUAAUACAAGGCAGACGGCUCAGUAACGCGUAGUCAACCUACCCUAUGGACGGGGAUAACCUCGGGAAACUGAGAAUAAUACCCGAUAGAACAUUAUGCCUGGAAUGGUUUAUGUUUCAAAUAAUUUAUUGCCGUAGGAUGGGACUGCGGCCUAUCAGUUUGUUGGUGAGGUAAUGGCCCACCAAGACUAUUACAGGUACGGGCUCUGAGAGGAGUAGCCCGGAGAUGGGUACUGAGACACGGACCCAGGCCCUAUGGGGCGCAGCAGGCGAGAAAACUUUGCAAUGUGCGAAAGCACGACAAGGUUAAUCCGAGUGGUUUCUGCUAAAGGAACCUUUUGUCAGUCCUAGAAACACUGAUGAAUAAGGGGUGGGCAAGUUCUGGUGUCAGCCGCCGCGGUAAAACCAGCACCUCAAGUGGUCAGGAUGAUUAUUGGGCCUAAAGCAUCCGUAGCCUGCUUUGUAAGUUUUCGGUUAAAUCCAUACGCUCAACGUAUGGGCUGCCGGGAAUACUGCAAAGCUAGGGAGUGGGAGAGGUAGACGGUACUCGGUAGGAAGGGGUAAAAUCCUUUGAUCUAUUGAUGACCACCUGUGGCGAAGGCGGUCUACCAGAACACGUCCGACGGUGAGGGAUGAAAGCUGGGGGAGCAAACCGGANUAGAUACCCGGGUAGUCCCAGCUGUAAACUAUGCAAACUCAGUGAUGCAUUGGCUUGAUGCCAAUGCAGUGCUGCAGGGAAGCCNUUAAGUUUNCCNNCUGNAANUANGUACGCAAG